UGCUGUGUUCAGUUCACUAACUUGGUUUACUAUGACAGAAUUAUAACUGGAAGAUUGGGUAAAAGGGCAGGUUUCUACUGUUCUUGGAAUUUAGGUGAAGAAGCACUUCCCGUGGCUUCCUAUUACUGCCAUCCAAGUUGAUGAAAGCUCAAAAGGGAUUGAAUUUAAAGUGGGGAUUUUUGUCUGAGAAGUUGCCUGUUUCUAUGUUCCGAGAGAUUCCAUCUUGUAGGGAUAAAAGACUUCCAGCAGUCUCUGCUCGCAUCAAUUUUAGAUGAUUUGAGCACAAUCAGGUCAACAGAAGAAAGGUGCUUACCUAUUUUACCAUUUGUAUUCACAGAGCAGCAACCAUGAGUAGUUCACCAUGUGUCCUCCCAAAUUAUAUAUGGAUGAACAUCGCUGUUGAAAAGUUUGCAUCCUUGCCUAUUAACUUCCCUUUCUUGGAUGAAGUAAAGGCUACUCCUUCAGUUGUCUUUGUUGAAUCUUCUCAAGGAAACUAGAGACAGAAUUUCUCGUUUUGUUUUCUUGUUGUCACUCUAGAAAUGCUCUCGGGUUCCAUGACAAGGUGCACAAGAUGGAACCUUAUAAGAUAUGAUCAGUAAGUUGCACGUGUACAUACCAUUAAGCCUUACAAUAGUCCUCAUAUGACGAAACAUUUGCUUAAUGGAACUUAUGACAUGUAUACGAGCCCUUAUAAAUAUCUUGUCAGAUAAGCUUCAGUACAUCAUUUAUCUCAUGUAAUGGACAACCAGAUGGAAGUACUCUACUUGAACAACAAAAUUGGACAACACUGACUCCGGUAUUUAUGCACCAUCAAGUGUUGAAUAUUCUACAGGGAGCAGCUUCUCGAGAUUUUCCUGGGACCGUGACUUCAACCACGCGCUUCGCCACCUCCACUGCCAUCUCCACCGCGCCCCUGCCUGCUCCCAAACUCCGGUUAUCUCUUUCCCUCAUUUUAUCUUUCUUUUAGCUGAGGACAGACAUUUAAUUUUUAGCUGAGGACAGAUAAUUGGUGCCUAUUUGGGAUACUGUGAAUUCGUAUUUUGCUACUCCUGACUGUCUACUUAAUUUUAUAUCAAAAUCGUUUGUGUUUGGAGAGUUUUGCUGUGUUGGUCUGUUUAAUUCAUAUUUGUGUGUUUGCUGUGUGUAGGUAGUCAUCGUUAAUUGUUUUGUUUGUCUGGUUGUCUGUUUCGUUAGUUGUCUGUAUUUGAAGUUGUGAUCGGGGACCCCUUAUUUAAUUGAGGUGCUGGUUGACUUAUUUUGAGUGUUUGUAUCUUGUUCUUGUCCUGUUUACUGGUGUCAAUGGCUAAAACAAACAAUCCACUUCGUCCCCACAACCCACUAUCCCUUUGAGUGGAUCUUCCCAAGCAACUGCUUCGGGCGGUCCCCGG
Long non-coding RNA from Coffea eugenioides, 1388 nucleotides. RefSeq lists it as uncharacterized. The record is from RefSeq and is a predicted model, not a curated record. NCBI's taxonomy places the organism in Eukaryota, Viridiplantae, Streptophyta, Magnoliopsida, Gentianales, Rubiaceae. The transcript is spliced from 4 exons.